UUGACGGUGUAGUCCCACUCGGCCUGCGGCCCGGCCAGCACCUGGUCGCCGAAGUAGUCGCCGUUGGCCAGCACGUCGAGCACGGUCUGGUCGCCGUACUCGCUCUGGCCGAUCUUGUUGACCUUGCCGUGCGCGAUCAGGAACACCUGGUCCUGCGCGCCGCCGGUCUCCACGAUGACGUCGCCCGGACCGUACUCGACCUGCCGGAACCGGCCGGCGAGCGCGGCCAGCGCCUCGACGUCGUCGUAGCCGCGCAGCAGUGGGAGCUCGGUCAGCUCCAGCGGGAUGACCUGCACCUCCGCGCCGGUGUUGGUGAACGUCAGCCGGCCGUCGCCGACGGCGUAGCUGAGCCGGCGGUUGACGCGGUAGGCGCCACCGGCGGCUUGCACCCAGGGCAGCACCUUGAGCAGCCACCGCGAGGUGAUGCCCUGCAUCUGCGGGACGGACUUGGUCGUCGUGGCCAGGUUCCGCGCCGCCGCUGUGCCGAGGCUCAGCCGGGGCCGAUCGG
RNAcentral lists this antisense RNA (508 nucleotides) under Saccharothrix espanaensis DSM 44229. RNAcentral describes it as "Saccharopolyspora sRNA 350". It matches the Rfam family "Saccharopolyspora sRNA 350". The record is from Rfam by way of RNAcentral. Lineage: Bacteria; Bacillati; Actinomycetota; Actinomycetes; Pseudonocardiales; Pseudonocardiaceae.